RNAcentral lists this long non-coding RNA (420 nucleotides) under Rosa chinensis. RNAcentral describes it as "sRNA RchiOBHm_Chr2g0125361". The record is from RNAcentral. Lineage: Eukaryota; Viridiplantae; Streptophyta; Magnoliopsida; Rosales; Rosaceae.
GGUUUUGAAGUAAUGGGUAGCUGAGAUUUAAGAGCAAUUAAUUGAAUUCAAUCAAGCAUGAUUCGAGUUGUGUGAUCUGAAAUCAAAAAACCCGAUCAAAAAGAGAUGAUUAACGUCCAUGAAACUUCAGUGCAUACAUUUAAUUAAGUUUAAAGAGAUGUACAAGUUCUUUGUCUAAUCGAAAAUACAACGUGGUGUGUUUAGAUCAAUUUGCAUUUGGGUAUUCAACAGAUUAUCAUGUCGAUUGGUUGACCUCUGUGUAAUUUCUCGGAAACUGACUUCAAGUGAAUCAUAUCAUUCCCGAGGUAUCAGGCAAGGUGUGUUACUGCAUUCCUUUAAUGGCCAGAUUUCUUUGCCAAGUUAUCUCUCCUGCGGCCCUGUGCAAAGCUAGGCUAAACUAAACUCACACCCAACUACUUU